This 78-nucleotide non-coding RNA is filed under the name Elusimicrobiota bacterium. Its description in RNAcentral is "Elusimicrobia bacterium Fluoride sequence". It matches the Rfam family "Fluoride riboswitch aptamer (crcB RNA motif)". The record is from RNAcentral. Lineage: Bacteria; Pseudomonadati; Elusimicrobiota.
GCGUCCCCCGGCGAUGAUGUCCGCCGCCCUGUAAAGACAGGGAAACCGUCCGCAGGGACUAAUGACCUCUACUCAAGG